RNAcentral lists this ribosomal RNA (443 nucleotides) under uncultured bacterium. Its description in RNAcentral is "partial 16S ribosomal RNA". It matches the Rfam family "Bacterial small subunit ribosomal RNA", at positions 338 to 795 of the family's 1533-position model. The record is from RNAcentral.
CCUACGGGAGGCAGCAGUGGGGGAUAUUGGACAAUGGAGGCAACUCUGACCCAGCAAUGCCGCGUGAGUGAUGAAGGUAAUUUUAUUGUAAAGCUCUUUUCUUUGGAACGAAUAAAUGACGGUACCAAAGGAAUAAGCCCCGGCUAACUACGUGCCAGCAGCCGCGGUAAUACGUAGGGGGCAAGCGUUGCUCGGGAUGACUGGGGGUAAAGGGUGUGUAGGGGGUUUGAUAAGUUAGAUGUGUAAUACCCAGAGCUUAACUCGGGUGCUGCAUCUAAAACUGUUAGACUUGAGUACAGGUGAGGAAAGUGGAAUGUCUGGUGUAGCGGUGGAAUGCUUAGAUAUUAGGAAGAACAUCGAUGGCGAAGGCAGCUAUCUGGACAGCAACUGACACUGAGGCACGAAAGCGUGGGGAGCAAACAGGAUUAGAUACCCGAGUAGUC